GGUGAACGCUGGCGGUAGGCCUAACACAUGCAAGUCGAACGGCAGCACAGGAGAGCUUGCUCUCUGGGUGGCGAGUGGCGGACGGGUGAGGAAUACAUCGGAAUCUACUCUGUCGUGGGGGAUAACGUAGGGAAACUUACGCUAAUACCGCAUACGACCUACGGGUGAAAGAAGGGGACCUUCGGGCCUUGCGCGAUUGAAUGAGCCGAUGUCGGAUUAGCAAGUUGGCGGGGUAAAGGCCAACCAAGGCGACGAUCCGUAGCUGGUCUGAGAGGAUGAUCAGCCACACUGGAACUGAGACACGGUCCAGACUCCUACGGGAGGCAGCAGUGGGGAAUAUUGGACAAUGGGCGCAAGCCUGAUCCAGCCAUACCGCGUGGGUGAAGAAGGCCUUCGGGUUGUAAAGCCCUUUUGUUGGGAAAGAAAUCCAGCUGGCUAAUACCCGGUUGGGAUGACGGUACCCAAAGAAUAAGCACCGGCUAACUUCGUGCCAGCCGCCGCCGUAA
This 506-nucleotide ribosomal RNA is filed under the name uncultured bacterium. RNAcentral's name for it is "partial 16S ribosomal RNA". It matches the Rfam family "Bacterial small subunit ribosomal RNA", at positions 28 to 523 of the family's 1533-position model. The record is from RNAcentral.